Molecule: transfer RNA, 71 nt
Filed under: Archaster typicus
Lineage: Eukaryota; Metazoa; Echinodermata; Asteroidea; Valvatida; Archasteridae
Description: tRNA-Leu
Rfam family: tRNA
About the family: Transfer RNA (tRNA) molecules are approximately 80 nucleotides in length. Their secondary structure includes four short double-helical elements and three loops (D, anti-codon, and T loops).
Source: RNAcentral
GUUGGAGUAGCAAAGAGGUACUGCAGUAGGUUUAGGUUCUAUUAUCAAAGGUUCAACUCCUUUCUCUAAUU